This 1602-nucleotide unclassified non-coding RNA is filed under the name Leishmania donovani. Its description in RNAcentral is "gene:unknown". Lineage: Eukaryota; Euglenozoa; Kinetoplastea; Trypanosomatida; Trypanosomatidae. The record is from RNAcentral.
CCCCUCAUCCGUCUAGCGCCAGACGAUGGUACCACCGGUGUUUUCCUAUUAUCUGCUCCUUUUUGCCUUGUUGCUAUGCUUCUUACCUCUUUUCUGCGAUGGCCGUCCUCGCGGCCGUUGUGUUUGUGCCUGCGCCCCUUUCCCCCUCUCUUUUUCUUGAUUCGCGUCUUCAGGUCCGCCUUCUGCGACUCGCCUACGGCUUUUUUUUUGCUGCUCAGCUCUCCACCGCUGCCGCCCGUCGCCUCUCACGCUGCGCUCCAUGUGUCGCUUCUUGGUUCUCUCGUUCGCCGAGCUGCGAUGACCUCCUCGAUCUGCACAUCCACAAAAACCCUCGCAGGCAUGCAAAGCCUUUCCUCCUAUCUUUCCUCUCUCUUGGCUUGGUAUGAUGUUGGCUUUGUGGGAAGGCUCAGCCGGCACGAGUGAUUUUGUGCUCUCUCUGCCUUCUAAUGCAGGCGGCACACGUAUCGGCACAGGUGAUGCACCGCAUUAGCUUGCUUUCUUCAGUGGCCACCUCUGUAUCCACGAAAUGGUGGAGCCGUGGCGGUGUGAGGAUGGCGCUGCCUCUGCAUGUGCGUGUGUGUGUGUGUGCUCCAUAUCACGAUGUGGCUCUUGUCUCUGCCCGCACCCCAUUUGAAAAGGUGAGCGUUUGCCGCUUUGGCUGCAGGCGCCAUGUCUUCUUCGCACCGACUUCACAACGCUCUUCACCGUGCACUGUAGAAGAGGCAGAAGGGAAAGAGGAAGUGUGGAGCACCAACCGCCACGGCGUCCCUCUCCCCUUCCCGCCGCUCUACACAGGGCUCACACUUGAUGCCACUCGAACCAGGGCAGGUGUAUUGUUUUUGUCUUGUUUUUUUUUUGUGUUCGUGUUUAGCGCCUCUUUUACGUCAACCCCCCCCCCCCACCACCACCACCUGUGCCCUCCGUCUCUGCCAUCUCCCUCCUCUUCACCCACACGUCCUCCUCGUUUUGUGUUUUUGCUCGCUUGCUUCUACUGAACAUAUCUUUAUGCCCCCUUUUUCGUGGUUCUCCGAACAUAUAUACUUGCUCGGAAGUGCGUGCGACAUAUCCGCUGGCAGUGCUGUGGAUGCCUCUGCGCGUCCAUGUGCAAAGGCGUCUCUUUGUGUGUUGCCUCUCCACCUUCUUUUUCCUUUGGGUUUCUUGUCUUCCACGCGAAAUGAUGGGUCCCUCCCCUCCCUCCUCCCCUCACCUCUUUGUUUCUUGUCCCACUCAAGCACACUCCUUUUAUGUAUUUCCUUUCCUCUCUAAUGCACCGCUUCCUUGUAGUGUCCACCUUCCUUUGCUAUCUUGCAAGCAUGUCUGCCGUGUUGGUUCUUGCCUUCUAGCUUCCUCCCAUUACCGCGCUCGCUUUCUUCCUUCUCCCACCCCCCUCUCUCUCUCUUUGUGUGGUGGUGGCUCCCCCCUUCUCCUCCUCCUUUAUGUGUGUAUGCGUUUUUUUUUUUAGCAUGGUGAAAUCUUUUUGUUUGUUGUACGCCUUCGCAGGGGUGCACACACACACACAUACAUCCGACCUUUUUGCUUUUCUUUCUGUAUCCGUCUCUUGACAUGGCACCUGAUAUCCCACAGCGUAGUGGAAGAUACAGG